RNAcentral lists this transfer RNA (356 nucleotides) under Rhodocyclus purpureus. RNAcentral describes it as "partial 16S-23S ribosomal RNA intergenic spacer". The stretch from base 26 to 98 matches the Rfam family "tRNA". Lineage: Bacteria; Pseudomonadati; Pseudomonadota; Betaproteobacteria; Rhodocyclales; Rhodocyclaceae. The record is from RNAcentral.
UGGAAGUUCCAGGCGGUAUUAUCAUGGGGGAUUAGCUCAGCUGGGAGAGCACCUGCUUUGCAAGCAGGGGGUCGUCGGUUCGAUCCCGUCAUCCUCCACCAAGAACUUGCAGCAAGCGGCGUCUGCGCAGUGCCCCGACAGUGGGUAGAACCAAGCAUACGGUUUAGAUGGUAUCCUUCGUUCUGACUAUUGUCAGCGCUCUUUAACAAGAUGGAAGAAGGUUGUAUCGUCAGUGCCGACAAGCAAAUACUGACGAUACGGUUGUGAUUGCAUCGACAUUCUGUCUCAGCAACAGGGUGUCGCACAAAUGAGUUGCCUGUAACUGGGUGUUCUCGGAAGAGAGCACAAGGUUAUAG